AGAGCGAACGCUGGCGGCAUGCUUAACACAUGCAAGUCGCACGGGCAGGGGCAACCCUGUCAGUGGCGGACGGGUGAGUAACGCGUAGGUAUCUAUCCUUGGGUGGGGGACAACUGUGGGAAACUACAGCUAAUACCGCAUGAUAACUGAGGUUUAAAGGCGCAAGUCGCCUGGGGAGGAGCCUGCGUACGAUUAGCUUGUUGGUGGGGUAAAGGCCUACCAAGGCGACGAUCGUUAGCUGGUCUGAGAGGAUGAUCAGCCACAUUGGGACUGAGACACGGCCCAAACUCCUACGGGAGGCAGCAGUGGGGAAUAUUGGACAAUGGGCGCAAGCCUGAUCCAGCAAUGCCGCGUGUGUGAAGAAGGUCUUCGGAUUGUAAAGCACUUUCGACGGGGACGAUAAUGACGGUACCCGUAGAAGAAGCCCCGGCUAACUUCGUGCCAGCAGCCGC
RNAcentral lists this ribosomal RNA (452 nucleotides) under uncultured bacterium. RNAcentral's name for it is "SSU rRNA". It matches the Rfam family "Bacterial small subunit ribosomal RNA", at positions 26 to 518 of the family's 1533-position model. The record is from RNAcentral.